GCCUGGGUGGCUCAGUCGGUUGAGUGUCCGACUUUGGCUCAGGUGAUGAUCUCGUGGUCCGUGGGUUUGAGCCCCGCAUCGGGCU
This 85-nucleotide transfer RNA is filed under the name Felis catus (domestic cat). It matches the Rfam family "tRNA". Rfam says of the family: Transfer RNA (tRNA) molecules are approximately 80 nucleotides in length. Their secondary structure includes four short double-helical elements and three loops (D, anti-codon, and T loops). Further hydrogen bonds mediate the characteristic L-shaped molecular structure. tRNAs have two regions of fundamental functional importance: the anti-codon, which is responsible for specific mRNA codon recognition, and the 3' end, to which the tRNAs corresponding amino acid is attached (by aminoacyl-tRNA synthetases). tRNAs cope with the degeneracy of the genetic code in two manners: having more than one tRNA (with a specific anti-codon) for a particular amino acid; and 'wobble' base-pairing, i.e. permitting non-standard base-pairing at the 3rd anti-codon position. The record is from Rfam by way of RNAcentral. Lineage: Eukaryota; Metazoa; Chordata; Mammalia; Carnivora; Felidae. RNAcentral also lists the same sequence under 1 other name.